RNAcentral lists this ribosomal RNA (468 nucleotides) under uncultured bacterium. RNAcentral describes it as "partial 16S ribosomal RNA". It matches the Rfam family "Bacterial small subunit ribosomal RNA", at positions 28 to 507 of the family's 1533-position model. The record is from RNAcentral.
GACGAACGCUGGCGGCGUGCUUAACACAUGCAAGUCGAACGGAAAUUCCCUGCUUGUGUGGUGUGCUCGAGUGGCGAACGGGUGAGUAACCCGGGAAUAACCUGCCCGGUACUUUGGCAAAACGUGAGGAAACUGGCGCUAAUACCGGAUAUGAUCUCCCGCUGUACGGUUUGGGGCGGGAAGUUUCGGCGGUUGGGGAUGUAGUCGCGGCUUAGCAGCUUGUCGGUGGGGUUGUGGCUUACCGAGGCUUUGACGGGUAGCCGGCCUGAGAGGGUGACCGGCCACAUUGGCACUGAGGUGCGGGCCGGACUGAUACGGGAGCAAGGGGCGGGGGACAGUGCGCGAUGGGCGGCAGGAUGAUGGAGGGACGCCGCGUGGGGGAUGACGGCCUUCGGGUUGUAACAAGCUUGCGCCUGUGACGAAGCGCCCGUGACGGUAAUGGGCCAAGAAGCAACGGCUAACUACGUG